AGAAGUAAAAGUCGUAACAAGGUUUCCGUAGGUGAACCUGCGGAAGGAUCAUUAAUGAGUUGUCAUGGGGUUCGAUGCUGGCAGCCAAUUUUUGGAUGCAUGUGCUUGCCCUAACAAUCAUCUUCCAAACACCUGUGCACGUUUUUGAGGGAGUCUUGAGUUGGUUGCCGCUCUUGGGUGGUUUUCUCACAUUCCCUUAAAUCAUUAUACGCUAUUAAUAAUGUUGAACGUGCUCUGUGCCGCAAGGCUAUUAAUAUAAUACAACUUUUAACAACGGAUCUCUUGGCUCUC
This 291-nucleotide unclassified non-coding RNA is filed under the name plant metagenome. RNAcentral's name for it is "partial contains small subunit ribosomal RNA, internal transcribed spacer 1, and 5.8S ribosomal RNA". The stretch from base 1 to 54 matches the Rfam family "Eukaryotic small subunit ribosomal RNA", at positions 1778 to 1831 of the family's 1831-position model. The record is from RNAcentral.